This 495-nucleotide ribosomal RNA is filed under the name uncultured bacterium. RNAcentral describes it as "partial 16S ribosomal RNA". It matches the Rfam family "Bacterial small subunit ribosomal RNA", at positions 28 to 507 of the family's 1533-position model. The record is from RNAcentral.
GACGAACGCUGGCGGCGUGCCUAAUACAUGCAAGUAGAACGCUGAGGGAGGAGCUUGCUUCUCUGGAUGAGUUGCGAACGGGUGAGUAACGCGUAGGUAACCUGCCUGGUAGCGGGGGAUAACUAUUGGAAACGAUAGCUAAUACCGCAUAACAGUAGAUAUCGCAUGAUAUCUACUUGAAAGGUGCAAUUGCAUCACUACCAGAUGGACCUGCGUUGUAUUAGCUAGUUGGUGAGGUAACAGCUCACCAAGGCGACGAUACAUAGCCGACCUGAGAGGGUGAUCGGCCACACUGGGACUGAGACACGGCCCAGACUCCUACGGGAGGCAGCAGUAGGGAAUCUUCGGCAAUGGACGGAAGUCUGACCGAGCAACGCCGCGUGAGUGAAGAAGGUUUUCGGAUCGUAAAGCUCUGUUGUAAGAGAAGAACGAGUGUGAGAGUGGAAAGUUCACACUGUGACGGUAUCUUACCAGAAAGGGACGGCUAACUACGUG